This 55-nucleotide ribosomal RNA is filed under the name uncultured bacterium. RNAcentral describes it as "partial 16S ribosomal RNA". The record is from RNAcentral.
AGNGCNCACCACGCAAGGGAGGCAGGCCCCCAAGGAGUGACUGGUAACUGGGGUG